GACGAACGCUGGCGGCGUGCUUAACACAUGCAAGUCGAACGGAAAGGCCCUGCUUUUGUGGGGUGCUCGAGUGGCGAACGGGUGAGUAACACGUGAGUAACCUGCCCUUGACUUUGGGAUAACUUCAGGAAACUGGGGCUAAUACCGGAUAGGAGCUCCUGCUGCAUGGUGGGGGUUGGAAAGUUUCGGCGGUUGGGGAUGGACUCGCGGCUUAUCAGCUUGUUGGUGGGGUAGUGGCUUACCAAGGCUUUGACGGGUAGCCGGCCUGAGAGGGUGACCGGCCACAUUGGGACUGAGAUACGGCCCAGACUCCUACGGGAGGCAGCAGUAGGGAAUAUUGCACAAUGGGCGGAAGCCUGAUGCAGCAACGCCGCGUGAGGGAUGACGGCCUUCGGGUUGUAAACCGCUUUCGCCUGUGACGAAGCGUGAGUGACGGUAAUGGGUAAAGAAGCACCGGCUAACUACGUG
This 468-nucleotide ribosomal RNA is filed under the name uncultured bacterium. Its description in RNAcentral is "partial 16S ribosomal RNA". It matches the Rfam family "Bacterial small subunit ribosomal RNA", at positions 28 to 507 of the family's 1533-position model. The record is from RNAcentral.